UGGGGAAUAUUGGACAAUGGGCGAAAGCCUGAUCCAGCCAUGCCGCGUGUGUGAAGAAGGCCCUCGGGUUGUAAAGCACUUUCAGUGGGGAAGAAGGCCUCGGGAUUAAUACUUCCGAGGAAGGACAUCACCCACAGAAGAAGCACCGGCUAACUCCGUGCCAGCAGCCGCGGUAAUACGGAGGGUGCGAGCGUUAAUCGGAAUUACUGGGCGUAAAGCGCGCGUAGGCGGUCUGAUCAGCCGGUUGUGAAAGCCCCGGGCUCAACCUGGGAACGGCAUCCGGAACUGUCAGGCUAGAGUGCAGGAGAGGAAGGUAGAAUUCCCGGUGUAGCGGUGAAAUGCGUAGAGAUCGGGAGGAAUACCAGUGGCGAAGGCGGCCUUCUGGACUGACACUGACGCUGAGGUGCGAAAGCGUGGGUAGCAAACA
RNAcentral lists this ribosomal RNA (427 nucleotides) under uncultured Halomonas sp. RNAcentral's name for it is "bacterial SSU rRNA". It matches the Rfam family "Bacterial small subunit ribosomal RNA", at positions 355 to 774 of the family's 1533-position model. The record is from RNAcentral. Lineage: Bacteria; Pseudomonadati; Pseudomonadota; Gammaproteobacteria; Oceanospirillales; Halomonadaceae.